This is a long non-coding RNA of Dreissena polymorpha, 1230 nucleotides long. RefSeq lists it as uncharacterized. Lineage: Eukaryota; Metazoa; Mollusca; Bivalvia; Myida; Dreissenidae. The record is from RefSeq and is a predicted model, not a curated record. The transcript is spliced from 8 exons.
GCGUUCAGUAUCCGCGUGAAAGCAGGAGUGACGUUGGCUGCAGCUGUCAGUCCGUACGUCAUGAACGUUGAUUGCACAGAUGCCGUAACCGCCGUCAGUUCAACGUUUACCCAGCCAGUCCUUGAUAAGCCGCCGACAUUUGUAUCUGGGAUUCCUGGGAAUUCCCCUGACGUCUCAGACGACAACGUGAUUGCGACGUCACUGGUAAAGUUCACAACUACGGACCCUGAUACCACGUGUUCUGUGACGUUACCUGUGACAACCGUUUAUGAGAUCAGAAAAGUGACGGUCUUAAGCACGCCACCGAGACCCUUCACACGUUCAGCGUCACCGAUAGCGACAACGCCGUUAACUGCUCUGCAAGAGUGCCGGAAAACGCCCUUUUUGAAGUGAUUGCCGGUGUCGCAUCAAGGUUUACAAUUAACGUAAAGGCGGGGGUAACGCUAAGAGCAGCGAACGGACCUUACGUCAUCAACGUCGACUGCUCAGAUGGCGACAAUGACGUCACUGCGACGUUCACACAACCAGUGAUUGAUACGCCGCCGAGUUUUGUAUCCGGGAUCCCCGGAAGUUCCCCUAACGUCUCUGACUCCACUGUCACACAGAUGUUACUCGGGAAGUUUACAACUACCGACCCGGAUACGACGUGUUCUGUGACGUCACCAUCCACCACCGUGUAUGAGAUCAGAAAUGUGACGUCACCGGUGAAUGUUUCUCAACCAGAAUUUGAAGUCAGGAUCUCUAUCACCGUGACUGAAACUGCCAUCGACUUCAACGACCAGGCCGUGCCGUUGACGUUAACGAUACGGUGUACUGACGGCAACCCCGUCAACGUCAUCACCGGGACUUUCAACGUCAAUAUCGUUGAUGAGGACCCAGUUCUAACGUCGUUUCCUAUGACGUCAUAUCAGUUCCUAGAAGACACUUCCGUUUCCGCUCUGGAGCUAAACUCAUUCAGCCUUAAAGAUUCUGAUGACGUCAUAUCUGCUUGAUGUCAUCAGUCAAAUCUGAAAAUCAACGUCAAAGCGUUUCAGAUUUGGUACAAGGGACGCCCGCGAGCGUCCUUGAACUAUGACGUCACGCCCGUUCAUAACAUCGGGAUUAUUUGCGACGACGGCAAAGUCUUUAGCGCGAGAUAUUAUUACGCAGUGGAUCUGGAAAACAACCCUCCGGUGUUUGUUAACCUUCCUGCGGUUACUUUACGUCAAUAGCGGAGUCAGUGAUGUCUAA